UAAUGAGCGAUGACGAAGAGUAGUAACUGGAUCAGGUACUUUAGAGAGCUGAUGGUUGGUGGGAAUCAGUGUAACUGUACCAGUGAAUGGACUUCCGAGCUUCCAGACCGAACCCUUAAGGCAGUAGGCUUUGGCGAAAUGGCCUUAUCGUUAUAAAAGGCAGGCAUUAAGCAUUCAAUGCUCGAUGCUGUUAAGUGAGCUGUUUUACAGCUAAUUAAGGUGGCACCACGGGUCUCUCGUCCUUAUU
This 247-nucleotide non-coding RNA is filed under the name Mesobacillus selenatarsenatis. RNAcentral's name for it is "Bacillus selenatarsenatis T-box sequence". It matches the Rfam family "T-box leader". Rfam says of the family: Uncharged tRNA acts as the effector for transcription antitermination of genes in the T-box leader family. T-boxes are found upstream of many aminoacyl-tRNA synthetase genes and some amino acid biosynthetic genes usually in Gram-positive bacteria. Lineage: Bacteria; Bacillati; Bacillota; Bacilli; Caryophanales; Bacillaceae. The record is from RNAcentral.